Non-coding RNA from Trichonephila clavata, 111 nucleotides. Lineage: Eukaryota; Metazoa; Arthropoda; Arachnida; Araneae; Nephilidae. The record is from the annotation of a GenBank genome assembly.
ACGGCCACAAUGUGCUGAAAACAACGGUUCUCGUCCGAUCACUUAAGUUAAGUAUCAUCGGGUAUGGUCAGUACUUGGGAGGUUAACCACCUGGGAACACAGCGUGCCGUU